GAUGAACGCUGGCGGCGUGCUUAACACAUGCAAGUCGAACGAAGCAUUUGCGACAGAUUUUUUCGGAAUGAAGUUGCUUAUGACUGAGUGGCGGACGGGUGAGUAACGCGUGGGUAACCUGCCUUGUACUGGGGGAUAGCAGCUGGAAACGGCUGGUAAUACCGCAUAAGCGCACAAUGUUGCAUGACAUGGUGUGAAAAACUCCGGUGGUAUAAGAUGGACCCGCGUCUGAUUAGCUAGUUGGUGAGAUAACAGCCCACCAAGGCGACGAUCAGUAGCCGACCUGAGAGGGUGACCGGCCACAUUGGGACUGAGACACGGCCCAGACUCCUACGGGAGGCAGCAGUGGGGAAUAUUGCACAAUGGAGGAAACUCUGAUGCAGCGACGCCGCGUGAGUAAAGAAGUAAUUCGUUAUGUAAAGCUCUAUCAGCAGGGAAGAUAGUGACGGUACCUGACGAAGAAGCUCCGGCUAAAUACGUG
RNAcentral lists this ribosomal RNA (481 nucleotides) under uncultured bacterium. RNAcentral's name for it is "partial 16S ribosomal RNA". It matches the Rfam family "Bacterial small subunit ribosomal RNA", at positions 28 to 507 of the family's 1533-position model. The record is from RNAcentral.